ACUUAAAAGGAAGUUGUCAGACAUAAAAUUGAAGCUUGACUGGAUUGAAUGUUUGGAUCUGGUAAAUGGUCAGGCACCCCUUGCACCCGAACUUGCGCUGAAGUUACAAGAAGAAGAGC
Zootermopsis nevadensis is the source of this 119-nucleotide non-coding RNA. The record is from RefSeq and is a predicted model, not a curated record. NCBI's taxonomy places the organism in Eukaryota, Metazoa, Arthropoda, Insecta, Blattodea, Termopsidae.